Non-coding RNA from Dermochelys coriacea (leatherback sea turtle), 83 nucleotides. The record is from the annotation of a RefSeq genome assembly. Lineage: Eukaryota; Metazoa; Chordata; Testudines; Dermochelyidae.
GAUGAGGUGGCCGAGUGGUUAAGGUGAUGGAACUGCUAAUCCAUUGUGCUCUGCACGCAUGGGUUCGAAUCCCAUCCUCAUCG